RNAcentral lists this ribosomal RNA (330 nucleotides) under uncultured Lachnospiraceae bacterium. RNAcentral describes it as "bacterial SSU rRNA". It matches the Rfam family "Bacterial small subunit ribosomal RNA", at positions 28 to 339 of the family's 1533-position model. The record is from RNAcentral. Lineage: Bacteria; Bacillati; Bacillota; Clostridia; Lachnospirales; Lachnospiraceae.
GAUGAACGCUGGCGGCGUGCCUAACACAUGCAAGUCGAACGAAGCACUUUGUUACGAUCCCUUCGGGGUGACGACUUUGUGACUGAGUGGCGGACGGGUGAGUAACGCGUGGGAAACCUGCCCUAUACCGGGGGAUAACAGUUGGAAACGACUGCUAAUACCGCAUAAGCGCACGAGAUGGCAUCAUCUAGUGUGAAAAACUCCGGUGGUAUAGGAUGGUCCCGCGUCUGAUUAGCUAGUUGGUGAGGUAACGGCCCACCAAGGCGACGAUCAGUAGCCGACCUGAGAGGGUGACCGGCCACAUUGGGACUGAGACACGGCCCAAACUCC